This 74-nucleotide transfer RNA is filed under the name Paenibacillaceae bacterium. RNAcentral describes it as "tRNA-Thr". It matches the Rfam family "tRNA". From Rfam's summary of the family: Transfer RNA (tRNA) molecules are approximately 80 nucleotides in length. The record is from RNAcentral. Lineage: Bacteria; Bacillati; Bacillota; Bacilli; Caryophanales; Paenibacillaceae. RNAcentral also lists the same sequence under 1 other name.
GCUCCUAUAGUUAAACGGUAUAACAGAUCACUCGUAAUGAUCAGUUCGUGGUUCGAUUCCGCGUGGGAGCACCA